ACGUGCAACAUACACACACCUGGCCGGAGGCUGCACAGCGCGGAGGGAACUGUCGGUCACCCCCCACCCCACGGGCCGCCCCCAACACCUCCCCUCAGCCAGCGGCCCUCCAGCUGGGGCACCCCUCCGGCCCCUCACGUCCGCCGCGCACAGCCGGCUCCCGCUACCAGGUAUAAAAUAUUAGAAACAAACAAAAAGGGAGAGAAAAAAGAAGAAGCCUUUAAUUGUGAUGUACAAAUUCAUAUAUUUGGAUAAAGGAAAAUAGAGACCAAGAGAGGAGAGUGUGAGAGCUAAAUUGAAAAACAUUUGGAAUUCCUGGAGCAGUGGUCUUUAAACUGGGCUGAUGGAAUAAACCUGGCCUGGAAACAUCACCUCUCCUGGGCUCCAUUUUAUCAUUGCUGAGUUGGAAAGAGGGAGCAAUUGUCAGAUCCCUUGCUGGCCACUGUGGGUGAAGCCCAGAUCAUUAACCCUGGACCUCAAAGUCUUCAGAUCAGAUAAGACUGCCUAUCUAAAUUACCACAUGACCCAGCAAUCCCACUACUGGGCAUAUACCCAGAGAAAACCAUAAUUCAAAAAGACACAUGCACCCCAAUGUUCAUUGCAGCACUAUUUACAAUAGCCAGGUCACGGAAGCAACCUAAAUGCCCAUCAACAGACGAAUGGAUGAAGAAGAUGUGGUACAUAUAUACAAUGGAAUAUUACUCAGCCAUGAAAAGGAACGAAAUUGGGUCAUUUGUAGAGACGUGGAUGGACCUAUAGACUGUCAUACAGAGUGAAGUAAGUCACAAUGAGAAAAACAAAUAUCGUAUAUUAACGCAUGUAUGUGGAAUCUAGAAAAAUGGUACAGAUGAACUGGUUUGCAAGGCAGAAAUAGAGACACAGAUGUAGAGAACAAACAUAUGGACACCA
Molecule: long non-coding RNA, 909 nt
Organism: Globicephala melas (long-finned pilot whale)
Lineage: Eukaryota; Metazoa; Chordata; Mammalia; Artiodactyla; Delphinidae
Source: RefSeq, a predicted model, not a curated record